GAAGCCUUACUGGUUACCUAACUUCCUUCUCUGUCACAUUCCUUUCUCUUCCCAGGGAGGAAAUAUGGUGGUGCCUCUGUUGAAGCAGCAGUGGGACCAUGGCUUUGGAGAGAAAGGGUCUUUGGUGGUCAGUGGUGAUCAGGAGAUCACAGCACACAAGUUAUGAGUGAAAGGGGCCUUAGCAAAUCAUACAUGUAAUGGAUUCCACCCAAACUCUCUUCCAAUAAGGAGCAACUGAACCAACAACCACUUCAUUUCUGAAUGCUACAAGCUGUUUGAGAUUUUGUCUUGAGCUCUGCAUUUCAGCAGCUGGAAGUUGAUGGAAGAGAGAAGGGAAAAGGCAUCCAUACUUUCAUAGUUUUCCAUUCCAAGAUAAAUAGCUUGGAUGAGAGAAGAGGGAACAUAAAUGAAUCAUACAGACAAUCUGUUCUUUCAACUGAUGGGGUUGGGAGGUUAAAAGAUUUUUACAAAUAAACAUUUUUUUUAAAAGGCAAGUAUUAGCUUAUGUGUUUGACAGAAGGCUGCAAUUAUGCUCUGAUCUGUACCACAUAAAACACUAAAAUAUGGAAAUGUAAGGUUAUCUAUCCUUCUCUUGUAGAACCAGUACAUUGUCUUCCUAUCGUGAUGUCUCAUCUGGUACAUUACUCAAACUCAUGCCAAAGUAUUCCACCACUUGAGAUAGCACAUAAAAAUAAU
Oenanthe melanoleuca is the source of this 696-nucleotide long non-coding RNA. RefSeq lists it as uncharacterized. Lineage: Eukaryota; Metazoa; Chordata; Aves; Passeriformes; Muscicapidae. The record is from RefSeq and is a predicted model, not a curated record. The transcript is spliced from 3 exons.